CUACUGCUAGUACUGCACUUGUUCGAUCUGUUGCUUGUUGCUGUUGUUUUCUCCCCUUUUCUCUCUUGGAGUUCUGUCUCGAUUGCUUGGAUCCUGACAGGCACGGGCAGAGCAACGCAAGCGCGCUGCGGCGGGCGACCUCGUCGACGGCUUCCGCGAGGGCGGCGGCGAAGCUGCUGCGAGGGCAUCCUGGGUCCCCUUCUCGGCGAAGUGGUCCUCGAAGGGGACUAGCUCCUGCGACUCGAGGGCGGAGGGCGGAGGGCGGGUGGCGCCACGUCAGGGGCGGAGGAGACGACGUCGGUGCGGUGGCGCGGAGGCCGCACGCGGCGAGGCGGAGGCGGUGGCGGGUCCCCGGGAGGCGGCGACGGGUCCUCCUGUUCCCAUCAAAUUGGUAGGCGACGACGCGGGAUUCUUCGAUCCGCAAGGGGCCGGCGCUCGGCGACGGGCGCUCCUCGAUGGCGGAGCUCCGGCCAGGGCUGCCGCGGAUCGAAGAUGGGAACAGGAGGCAGCGGCCAUCAGGAUGGAGGGGGCACUGCAGAUGAGGAGGCGGCGGCGGAGGUAAAAAGGCUCGCGCGGUCAGAGAGGACAAGAUUUGAACUCAGGUCUAGCCCACUAGUUGAAUCACAGUCUAGUUUGUUGCACAUUUCUCGGAAUAAUUAUACUUGUUUCGUUUGAAACGUCAAGAGACAUUGGGUAAAUUGCUCGACGCCAAGACCAACGGCGCCAAGCUUGACGUCAAGAUCCACAACGUCAAGCCUCCGCCACGUCGGCAUCCGCGUCAGCAGUUGGACAUGGACCUUGGCGUCAGGAUGGCUGGCGUCGAGACGUGUAAGCUUGGCGCCAAGCUAAGGGUCCAGAUUUUGAAAUGGUUCCACCAGGAGCGUAUUUGCAAGAAUCCUUAAAAAAGGGCUAAAAAACAAAAAAGACAGGAUUCGAGAGGGUACGCGCGGGCGGGUAAAAAAU
This 963-nucleotide long non-coding RNA is filed under the name Setaria italica (foxtail millet). RNAcentral's name for it is "long non-coding RNA (SITA_LNC005530)". Lineage: Eukaryota; Viridiplantae; Streptophyta; Magnoliopsida; Poales; Poaceae. The record is from RNAcentral.